UUGUUUUCCUCUCAAUAUCUGAGUCGUGUAAACAACAUUAGCACUGCCUUGAUCAAUGGAUAGAAGGGCAACCAAUUGGUUGCUGCAUACUAUGCUUAUAUGCGUGGUCUUGCCGAUGAACUCGCCAUGGCCGGCAAGCCCAUCCAGGAUGAUGAGCUCAUCUCCUACCUACUGCAUGGGCUGGACAUGGACUACCAGCCCCUCGUCUCCGCCAUCGACGCCCGCGUCACGUCGGUCUCCCUCGAUGAGUUGUACGCCAUGCUGAGCAAUUUUGAUCAGCGUGUCGCUCAGUUUCACAGCGCCCGCGGUGGCUUCAAGUCCUCGGCCAACGUGGCCACUCGCGAGUACGGCGGGUACUCAUCUCGUCAUCGCGGUCCUCCUCGACACAAGGGCAAGCAAGGCGGUGGCGGCUCCAGCAACUCUAGCUCCCGUGGUGGACGCCCCAACUUCACCAGCAACAGGGGCCGCCGAGGCGGGGGCGGCAACAGCUCGGGCAGAUCACGACCCGAUGCUGUGCGCUGCCAGAUCUACGGCAAGCCUGGCCACACAACCAAGGACUGCAGGUAUCGCUUCGAUGAAGACGAAGCCUCCUCUGAAGAAGAUGACAAGAUUGCCGCUGCCGCCGAUGGAUCAUAUGGCGUUGAUACUAACUGGUAUCUCGACAGUGGUGCAACAAAUCAUCUCACGGGGAGCUCGAGAAGGUGA
RNAcentral lists this ribosomal RNA (705 nucleotides) under Triticum aestivum (bread wheat). Its description in RNAcentral is "partial small subunit ribosomal RNA". The stretch from base 139 to 277 matches the Rfam family "Small nucleolar RNA Z247". Lineage: Eukaryota; Viridiplantae; Streptophyta; Magnoliopsida; Poales; Poaceae. The record is from RNAcentral.